UUGGAGGGCAAGUCUGGUGCCAGCAGCCGCGGUAAUUCCAGCUCCAAUAGCGUAUAUUAAAGUUGUUGCAGUUAAAAAGCUCGUAGUUGAAUUUCGGGGUCAGUAGGCUGGUCGUGCCUCAGGUACGUACUGGUCUUACUGAUUCCUCCUUCCUGACGAACCGUAAUGCCAUUAAUUUGGUGUUGCGGGGAAUCUGGACUGUUACUUUGAAAAAAUUAGAGUGUUUAAAGCAGGCUAACGCUUGAAUACAUUAGCAUGGAAUAAUGAAAUAGGACGAUCGAUCCUAUUUUGUUGGUUUCUAGGAUUGACGUAAUGAUUAAUAGGGAUAGUUGGGGGCAUUAGUACUCAAUUGUCAGAGGUGAAAUUCUUGGAUUUAUUGAAGACUAACUACUGCGAAAGCAUUUGCCAAGGAUGUUUUCAUUAAUCAAGAACGAAAGUUAGGGGAUCGAAGACGAUCAGAUACCGUCGUAGUCUUAACCAUAAACUAUGCCGACUAGGGAUCGGAUGAUGUUAAUUUUUUAAUGACUCAUUCGGCGCCUUACGGGAAA
RNAcentral lists this ribosomal RNA (548 nucleotides) under uncultured Glomeromycotina. RNAcentral describes it as "SSU rRNA". It matches the Rfam family "Eukaryotic small subunit ribosomal RNA", at positions 548 to 1097 of the family's 1831-position model. Lineage: Eukaryota; Fungi; Glomeromycota. The record is from RNAcentral.